Molecule: transfer RNA, 75 nt
Rfam family: tRNA
About the family: Transfer RNA (tRNA) molecules are approximately 80 nucleotides in length.
GUGGCUAUAGCUCAGCUGGUAGAGUCCUGGAUUGUGAUUCCAGAUGUCGUGGGUUCGAGCCCCACUAGUCACCCA